Molecule: ribosomal RNA, 493 nt
Filed under: uncultured bacterium
Lineage: Bacteria
Description: partial 16S ribosomal RNA
Rfam family: Bacterial small subunit ribosomal RNA
Source: RNAcentral
AUUGAACGCUGGCGGCAUGCUUUACACACGCAAGUCGAACGGUAACAGGUUAAGCUGACGAGUGGCGAACGGGUGAGUAAUGCAUCGGAACGUGCCCGAUCGUGGGGGAUAACACUUCGAAAGAAGUGCUAAUACCGCAUACGAUCUGAGGAUGAAAGCGGGGGACCGUAAGGCCUCGCGCGAUCGGAGCGGCCGAGUUCAGAUUAGGUAGGUGGUGGGGUAAAGGUUCACCAAGCCGACGUUCUGUAGCUGGUCUGAGAGGACGACCAGCCACACUGGGACUGAGACACGGCCCAGACUCCUACGGGAGGCAGCAGUGGGGAAUUUUGGACAAUGGGCGCAAGCCUGAUCCAGCAAUGCCGCGUGCAGGAAGAAGGCCUUCGGGUUGUAAACUGCUUUUGUACGGAGCGAAAAGGCUCCCUCUAAUACAGGGGGCUCAUGACGGUACCGUAAGAAUAAGCACCGGCUAACUACGUGCCAGCCGCCGCAGUAA